GGGGGCGUAAGCUCAACGGUUAAACUGUCGGUCUCCAAAACCGAACUUCUCGGUUCGAAUCCGAGCGCCCCCGCCA
This 76-nucleotide transfer RNA is filed under the name Acidipila sp. EB88. RNAcentral's name for it is "tRNA-Trp". It matches the Rfam family "tRNA". From Rfam's summary of the family: Transfer RNA (tRNA) molecules are approximately 80 nucleotides in length. Their secondary structure includes four short double-helical elements and three loops (D, anti-codon, and T loops). Lineage: Bacteria; Pseudomonadati; Acidobacteriota; Terriglobia; Terriglobales; Acidobacteriaceae. The record is from RNAcentral.